GAUGAACGCUGGCGGCGUGCCUAAUACAUGCAAGUCGAGCGAACAGACGAGGAGCUUGCUCCUCUGACGUUAGCGGCGGACGGGUGAGUAACACGUGGAUAACCUACCUAUAAGACUGGGAUAACUUCGGGAAACCGGAGCUAAUACCGGAUAAUAUAUUGAACCGCAUGGUUCAAUAGUGAAAGACGGUUUUGAUGUCACUUAUAGAUGGUUCCGCGCCGCAUUAGCUAGUUGGUAAGGUAACGGCUUACCAAGGCAACGAUGCGUAGCCGACCUGAGAGGGUGAUCGGCCACACUGGAACUGAGACACGGUCCAGACUCCUACGGGAGGCAGCAGUAGGGAAUCUUCCGCAAUGGGCGAAAGCUUGACGGAGCAACGCCGCGUGAGUGAUGAAGGUCUUCGGAUCGUAAAACUCUGUUAUUAGGGAAGAACAAAUGUGUAAGUAACUAUGCACGUCUUGACGGUACCUAAUCAGAAAGCCACGGCUAACUACGUG
This 497-nucleotide ribosomal RNA is filed under the name uncultured bacterium. RNAcentral's name for it is "partial 16S ribosomal RNA". It matches the Rfam family "Bacterial small subunit ribosomal RNA", at positions 28 to 507 of the family's 1533-position model. The record is from RNAcentral.